UCGUGCCUGCGGUUUGCUGGCGGCCUCUCCGGGGGUUCGUCGGCACCGCAUCUGGCCCAACCGUGUCUAUUUGUACCUGUUGCUUCGGCGGGCCUGCGGGCGUUGCUCGCUGCCGGAGGCCCUAAAGCCUCGGGCUUGAGCCCGCCGAAGACGCUUGAAACUCCUGUUAAUAUUGGCGGUCUGAGUGGACUUUAUAAUAGUUA
This 203-nucleotide unclassified non-coding RNA is filed under the name uncultured Onygenales. RNAcentral's name for it is "sequence contains ITS1". The record is from RNAcentral. Lineage: Eukaryota; Fungi; Ascomycota; Eurotiomycetes; Onygenales.